GGACCUGACUGCUAUCGGAUUGAUACUAAGCCAUGCGAGUCAUUGUAGCAAUACAAGGCAUACGGCUCAGUAACGCGUAGUCAACCUAACCUAUGGACGGGAAUAACCUCGGGAAACUGAGAAUAAUGCCCGAUAGAACAUUAUGCCUGGAAUGGUUUAUGUUCCAAAUGAUUUAUCGCCGUAGGAUGGGACUGCGGCCUAUCAGUUUGUUGGUGAGGUAAUGGCCCACCAAGACUAUUACAGGUACGGGCUCUGAGAGGAGUAGCCCGGAGAUGGGUACUGAGACACGGACCCAGGCCCUAUGGGGCGCAGCAGGCGAGAAAACUUUGCAAUGUGCGAAAGCACGACAGGGUUAAUCCGAGUGGUUUCUGCUAAAGAAACCUUUUGUCAGUCCUAGAAACACUGAUGAAUAAGGGGUGGGCAAGUUCUGGUGU
Molecule: ribosomal RNA, 434 nt
Filed under: uncultured archaeon
Lineage: Archaea
Description: bacterial SSU rRNA
Rfam family: Archaeal small subunit ribosomal RNA
Source: RNAcentral